This 77-nucleotide transfer RNA is filed under the name Candidatus Thorarchaeota archaeon. RNAcentral describes it as "tRNA-Ala". It matches the Rfam family "tRNA". Rfam says of the family: Transfer RNA (tRNA) molecules are approximately 80 nucleotides in length. Their secondary structure includes four short double-helical elements and three loops (D, anti-codon, and T loops). Further hydrogen bonds mediate the characteristic L-shaped molecular structure. tRNAs have two regions of fundamental functional importance: the anti-codon, which is responsible for specific mRNA codon recognition, and the 3' end, to which the tRNAs corresponding amino acid is attached (by aminoacyl-tRNA synthetases). tRNAs cope with the degeneracy of the genetic code in two manners: having more than one tRNA (with a specific anti-codon) for a particular amino acid; and 'wobble' base-pairing, i.e. permitting non-standard base-pairing at the 3rd anti-codon position. Lineage: Archaea; Promethearchaeati; Candidatus Thorarchaeota. The record is from RNAcentral.
GGGCCGAUAGUUCAGUUGGUAUGAAUGUCUGAUUUGCAUUCAGAAGGUCGGGGGUUCAAAUCCCCCUCGGUCCACCA